UUCUUUGUAUGUGAAUAAAUACAAGGAGCUAAAUCCUUGCUUCUUGUGUUGAUAUCAAGAAGAAAAGUGAAAACAGAAGCUUCCUCUCGCACACUCCAAAGACCAGAUCCACUGAGGGCUCUUGAUAAUCUCUCAGAAUCUGAGAGCAAACCUUUUCGAAAGUCACCAGUUCUCCAUCUACCUUUCUUCAUCUCGCCCAUCCCUAAUGAAGUUCACAUGAUGGUUCUUGUAUUCAGGGCUUGCAAUCCACAAUUGAGUUAAAGAUCAUUCAGCUACCUCAUCACUGAUCUUCAGUUGCUUUGUUUUGAAAGGUGUUCUUUGUGGUGGACGUGACUGAUCCAGUUGUGGUUGCAUAUGCGGAUUCCAAAAUGUCUACUGCUUAGUCUCAGUUCAAGGCUCGACUGAAGGAGGAGUGGACGACAACAUACCCACAAAGCCGGUGCACGACCAUAUGUACAACAUGCUUUGGUGGCCUCUAAGGAGAAGAUGAAGGCAGAGAGGAAUGCCCUUAUAAAGGAGUUGUACCAAUACGUAUAUGAGGGUACUCCACUUGAUUCUAUCAAACUGACUCUGGAAGCUAAGUUCCUAAUAUAGUAUGAAGGAACAAAAUGGACAUUUGAAGGCUCAAGUGGAAAGUUUGUUGAGGCAAUAUCCUGGGCAGAUGAGUGAGGAUGACUUCCUCCACCCCAACAGUGGCUUCUAAGACUUGCUUGAGAAUUUUGGGUGAGCAUUUGCUGGACUUUUGGUCUGAUGUCCCUUUUUGUGCAGUUAUAGCUUUUUACCUUGAUUAUGCUACCAUCUAGCGAUACCCAAGAAAAUCUAUUGUGUCCAUUUUGAGUAAUACAGACUGACACAUUACUGGCAUGUACAUUGAAACUUCGGUGGAUUUACUUGAGUUUUGACAUUCUACCUUACUCGAACAGAUGGGACAUCUAAUUUAUUCUUAUUAUCGAUUAGUGUAGGUUAUGAAGCUUUAACUUUUGAUGUACAAAUGAACAAGUUGAUUAUAUAUGAAGCACGUAUGUUUUUCUAAACUUGUUAUAGAUUAGUGUUA
Rosa rugosa (rugosa rose) is the source of this 1054-nucleotide long non-coding RNA. RefSeq lists it as uncharacterized. NCBI's taxonomy places the organism in Eukaryota, Viridiplantae, Streptophyta, Magnoliopsida, Rosales, Rosaceae. The record is from RefSeq and is a predicted model, not a curated record. The transcript is spliced from 4 exons.